Molecule: ribosomal RNA, 450 nt
Filed under: uncultured bacterium
Lineage: Bacteria
Description: partial 16S ribosomal RNA
Rfam family: Bacterial small subunit ribosomal RNA
Source: RNAcentral
GUGGGGAAUUUUGGACAAUGGGCGCAAGCCUGAUCCAGCAAUGCCGCGUGCAGGAAGAAGGCCUUCGGGUUGUAAACUGCUUUUGUACGGAACGAAACGGUCCUGGUUAAUACCCGGGGCUAAUGACGGUACCGUAAGAAUAAGCACCGGCUAACUACGUGCCAGCAGCCGCGGUAAUACGUAGGGUGCAAGCGUUAAUCGGAAUUACUGGUCGUAAAGCGUGCGCAGGCGGUGCUGUAAGACAGGCGUGAAAUCCCCGGGCUUAACCUGGGAAUUGCGCUUGUGACUGCAGUGCUGGAGUGCGGCAGAGGGGGAUGGAAUUCCGCGUGUAGCAGUGAAAUGCGUAGAUAUGCGGAGGAACACCGAUGGCGAAGGCAAUCCCCUGGGCCUGCACUGACGCUCAUGCACGAAAGCGUGGGGAGCAAACAGGAUUAGAUACCCGUGUAGUCC